GCCCAUCCGCUGGGCUCGGUCGGCCGGUGUCCCCGGUCGACCCGUUCCUCCCCCCGCCGUCAAGGGUUCACCGACCCGGGCAUUUUCUCUCGGCGCCGGGCGGGGCGGCGGAUAGUGAGGGCGAGAGCGUGUGUGCGUGUGUGCCGGAGGGAAGGCGCCAUCCCGAGCCGGCUGCCCCGCCGCGGCAGCCGCGACCCCGCCCGGGCCGGUGGGCUCCCCCGCCCCCGCCCCUCGCAGCGCGGCCGGGCUCCCCACCCCUCCGCGCCCCCGCGGAGUUGACCGUGACCCUCGCCCCGCUCUGCUGGUGCCCGGCCCCUCUCUCUCCACUCAGCCUUCACCCACCCGGGAAGUUUCCUCCCUCCAGGCCGGACUGUCCCAGGAUCCAGGAUGAAGGAGCACCCCCUAUUUAUGACAUACUGUUCUCUUGGCAGAGAGAAAAGAGCAAGAGCUGGUGGAAACUCACAAAGCUCUUAAAACUUCUACUUGGAACUGGAACUUUCUCAUAUUUCAUUGGCCAAAGUGAGAUGAUAAGUCUGUUCAUCAGAUGACCACGGAACCCUUUGAACUGUGGUAUGAAUUGAAUGGCACUCCCUGACUACAGGCAUUUCACAUCUGCUGAUAGUAUCAUCUUUUUGUACAUCCAUUGGUGUAUUCAUUUUAUUAUUUUACUAGAGGCCCGGUGCACGAAAUUCAUGCACAAGGCGGGUGUCCUUCAGCCUGGCCUGCACCCUCUCCAAUUUGGGACCCCUCGGACAUCCCUCUCACAAUCCGGGUCCGCUGGCUCCUAACCGCUCACCUGCCUGCCUGCCUUAUUGCCCCUAACUGCUUCUGUCUGCCAGCCUGAUUGCCGCCAAACCGCUCCCCUGCCAGCCUGAUUGAUGCCUAACUGCUCCCCUGAUGGCCUGAUUGUUCCCAACUGCCCUCCCCUGCUGGCCCGAUUGCCCCCAACUGCCCUCCCCUGCCAGCCUGGUCAUCCCCAACUACCCUUCCCUGCCAACCUGAUCGCCCACAACUGCCCUUCCCUGUAGGCCUGGUUGCCCCCAACUGCCCUCCUCUGCUGGCCUGAUGGCCCCCAACUGCCCUUUCCUGCCGACCUGGUCGCCCCUAACUGCCCUCCCCUGCAGGCCUGGUCGCCCCCAACUGCCCUCCCUUGCCGGCCUGAUCGCCCACAACUGCCCUCCCCUGCCAGCCAUUUUGUGAUGACGUGAGGGCGUUGCAUGAGGGUGCAAGGACCACCUAGGUUUUUAUUAGUAUAGAUUGAUGUGGUGUUUGAAUUGUAUUUAUAGGUACUUUGGGCACUUGGGUAUAGGGUGACUGCUUAAGGCUUUGGGCCUUUCAACUUUAAGCAUUUCACCCCUAAAUUGUUAUAUGUUGGGUUCUGGGUAAAAUUUUGCAUGAGGAAAUGAGUUUUGAUGUCAAGAGUAAUUUAAAAAUUCUUGUUUUAUUUCUUGUACCUGAUUCUUAGUAAUCUAUAUGGCUGCCUUUAUUCACUCCCACUUCCCUCCCAAAAGAAACAAAACUAACUUUUUGAAAUUAAGGAUAUUUUAAUCCUGUUUAUCUUUAUUUUUCAAAUAUCUAUUGAAUGAAUGCAAAUAUACUAAUAGAAGUUAUUGAAUAGAAUUUAAUUUCUAUUUUAUUU
Molecule: long non-coding RNA, 1639 nt
Organism: Myotis daubentonii (Daubenton's bat)
Lineage: Eukaryota; Metazoa; Chordata; Mammalia; Chiroptera; Vespertilionidae
Gene: EPS15
Exons: 3
Source: RefSeq, a predicted model, not a curated record